CAAAAACUGUGUUACCGGCACAAAGGAGAAGCAGAGAUUCAGAGUGUGAUGAGUGCUGUGCAGGAGCCUGCUGGCAGGAGAGCCAGACGGACCCAUUUGGACUGUUAAAAGUAAAAGAAGAGGGGCAGAUUCAGGAGGAAACCUGUUAAAGCCUUCCCCAUUGUCACAUGGAGACAGGAACCGGGAGGUCAACUGCAAGCUUUGCCGCUGCUUUUGGGAGGAGACAUGCUGGUGGGUGGUCAGGACUGUUGGUGACAACUGUGCAGCUUUGGAACUGAACUAAAACAAAAGACUGACAAAGAGGAGGAAUCCGGCCAUGCGGGCGCCUUUUCAGCUGUCCUGAAAGGAGGAUAACUCCUCACUGGAACUGCGGAGCUUUCUCCAAACAUGGACCAUCUGAGUUAAAAAGUGGCGCCUCUGAUUUUGUCCUCCACACAUUGACCAGUCAUUCUCGUGGAGCGGGGUCAGUGCAGUGGGAUAUUCCGGGUCUGCCUGCUCGUCUGGGAUCAGGCAGUAUCCCACAGUGAUGUCAUCAUCUGUGGCCAUGACUGACGUAGACAGCUUCCCCAAAAUAUUGUUUCCUCACGUCAGCGUAAAAUCAAGGGGCAGAUUUAUCUCCACGUGGGGCAGCUGCUGUCAUGUCAGACUCGGCUCAAAACUCGGCCUGGAUGUCCUCUUGAACCCCGAUCCUGGAGAGACAAUUUAUUGACACUUUGUCCUUGAAGUGGGAAGGAUAUAGUUCAUCGAUAGCCCCGAGGUUAUCUGCUCUGCUCUGAACCACACGGCUCCACAUUACUGAUAAGCUGUGGACGUUUCCAGAGUACCAACAGUUCAUGAUAAAAAAAAAUUCAAAAGCAAUAAAAAGAACUAUAUUGUAUUGGAGGUUACUUCUUUUUUCACAAAUUAAAAAAAAAAAAUUGCUAAUUUCCCCAUAUUUCUUUUACAAUUUUGUACUUUCCAUUUUCAGUGAGAAAAAUAAAGUAUUUAGAAGUCACAGUUUAUGGAGGUUUUAGAUCCUUUCAUAAAACAUCAGCAAAUUGACGCACAUUGACUGUAAAUGAGAACUGGACCAAGUGACCCCUCCCCUCUAACAUUAUAAACUGGCCAAUCAAAAGCCUCAAUAAAAGUAGGUGGCCUUACGUCAAACAAUAUUCUCCCAAGCCUGCUUUCAAGUGGUCGGGGUGUGGACUUCCAACAAGCUCAUGCCUGAUUGGCUAGAGUGGUUGCCACAAAAAUAUUGACACAGACAUACUUGGACAUAACACCGCAUAAUGACGUCAUCUGAUUCCAACAUGGCGGCGACCGUAUCGCAAAAAAAUGCAGACUGAAUUGACUUCAUGAGGUCGGAAUUGAAAGUACGUCAUUAUCCACUGGUGACAUCACAGUCACACAGUCCAGUCCUUAUAUACAGCCAAUCAAUACUGGUAACAGAACUAAUAUUCAGAUGCAAUAAUAAGUCAUAUGAAUGAUAUUAAAUAUUAAUAAAAAGAUAAAAUAGGGGCAGCAGAUGUGUUUUUUCUUUUCCUUCAUUUUGUAGUUGUUCAAGACCCAAUCAAAUUUUUUUUUUUUUUUUUUGUAAAAUCAUUUAGUGGUCUUUAAAUUUGCUUGUUUUUUAAUUUUCAAGCUUUAAUUUUAAAUUAUUUUAUAUAUAUGUCGUCCUUCAUGAGAGAAAAGCUACAAGAACAUGUUCAAAACAUCAAACACACGAUUUCCAUCGAGGUUGUCUGUAAGUCUUCUAAACUAGUUCUUUUGAUCCUUUUAAUGAGGAUUUUUCAAGACAUUGUGUCAUAGAGCCAAGACGUGGGAGAUGGUGAGAUGUGCCUCUUCUCAAAGAUCUGUUGUUGCACAAUGACUGAGAUGAAUUAAAUUAAAUGAUUUAGCUUGACUGUCAUCUUCACCUUGAGGUCCAGAAUACUAAAUGUGGUCGGUACCGGGCUUAAUUUGAAACCUGAAAAUCCAAAACAUGACUUCCAGAUUUGUCUCUGACAACUGAAUCUCUGAUAAGCAUGUCAGACUUCUUUCAUUUCCUCAAAGACACACUCUGAUCAUCUUUUAAACUAUUUUAAAAGCGUUCCCGGUGGUCUUUUAAAUGGAAUUAUGCCAUUUUUUUGGGUCAAAAUUAAAAAAUUUGUCUUGUUUUCAAUGACAGUUUCUGUGGAACAGCAGUAAAUGAGUUGUGGGUGUGAGUGUUGCUACGGAGCAACCCCGAAACUCUCUCUUACUUAAUCUCCUGCUAGAUAACAGAAAAUGAAAAAUUGGCAAAAUUGGAGGGACCCAGCUGUACAGUUCUGAGUUAUAUGCCAGCUCAGAAGAGAACAAAGAACAUGUACACCUGUCUAGUCGUUUACAAGCGAAUAAUCAGAAUGUGGCGAAGCUUGUGGCCCACCCGGUCUAUUUUCUACGCCACAAAUACAAUCUUUUAAAAGAUAUAUGUUGGUCUGCUCCUGAUUCACAACAAUUUAAAUAAAGAAAUACUCCAAAAUGCAAUUUGAAUGUUAUUUUUCUUUAUACAAAUCCUCCAUCAUCA
RNAcentral lists this long non-coding RNA (2527 nucleotides) under Oryzias javanicus (javanese ricefish). RNAcentral's name for it is "lncRNA (ENSOJAG00000021355.1)". The record is from RNAcentral. Lineage: Eukaryota; Metazoa; Chordata; Actinopteri; Beloniformes; Adrianichthyidae.